UCAAGAUAAGGAGACAAAACCACACAUGUAUUCAUAGUCACCUCCCUCCAUACACACACAUAUGCAUGCAUGCAAAUACACAUACAUGAUGGAAUUCAGUUUUCAUCUACCAUAUCCAUGCACAAAGCUUUAGUUGGGUUAUAGCAGUAGAUACUUGCCCAAGGUGCCUCACAGUAGGAUUGAACCCAGAACCAUGUGGUUGGGAAAACAAAUUUCAUAACCAUGCAACCAUGCCUGCAUCUAUCAAUUCUACAAUAAACUUAAUCUAGCCAUUAAUGCAUAAUGAAACUGACCUAAUCGUCAUUAUAUAAUAAUCCUGGUAAAACCAUAUUUAUAUAAGAAAUUUAAUAAGUAGUAAAAUUAUCCUGAAAAGUCACAAUACCAUAAGAUAAACACUGAAAAGCAUUACGUGCACUUCAUUAAUUAUGUAUCUUGUGCUGUAUCAAUUUAUCCUGGCUUGAAAGUAUAAUAUAAUGAUAUAUUAUGAAAGCUGAUAUCUUGUCAACUGACCACACACUUAGUUUUUUUUAAGCAACUGAUGUGAUUAUUGAAGAACAGAGCUAGCCUUAACACCAGUGAAAUGUCAUUGAGCUGUAUAACACCACUUUCACUUAAGCUGCUUGUCACAGUUGAUGAUAUUUCUCUGAGCUGGACUCCAUUUAACGACUUCACAAUCAAUUUAUGAUAAACCCGACAAAGCCCUCACUUUAUAAUGAACAUAGCCAAAUCAUCACUAUAACAUGAAGCUGGUCUGGCCAUCACUGUAUAAUCAUCCUAGUCUGUCAUAAACUAUAAGAAACUUGAAUUAUCAAUCGUAGUACUGCUGUAACAUAUCCAGAAAUACAGACAGCAAAAUUAAUCAUUAAUGUAAUAUUUUAAUAAUUAUUAUAUCAAACAUACACACAAGUAAUAUUUUUACUCUUUCGAAGCUUUGUAAAACUUCUGUUGCAGCUAGCUCAUAUUAACGGUGUAUAGCUCUUCAGUUGUGUAUUCUUUGUUGCUGCACUUUAUAUCUGCUUCAUGCUAUAAUAUAGAAGUAAAUACUGAAGGCCAGUAACUUGCCACCAGAGCUCACACACAUACAAAAUUAUUUUAGCAAAUACUGUGAUUACUAAAAUCUGGAUCUAGACUUCCCACCAACGAAAUAUCACUGAUGUAUAAAGCAUCACUUUUAGUUAAACUGCCAGUCUGCAUGAUUUAGCCAACACUGGAUGAUAAGUCCAUUUUUAACCAUCAGUGUAUUAUGAAUCUGGCUUAAUCCUCCUGUAUGAUAUAUCUGACACAUAUUUCUGUGUAGAAAUCUGGUUAAUCGCCCAAGGUAAUCAGAACCCUAUGUAGCUAUUUAUGUGAUAUGAACCGUCCCAGCCAUCAUUGUAUGAUGAACCUGCACUGCCCUACUUUGCACUAUAAAACUUGACCCUGUUAUUUCUGCACAAUGAAACUGACCUUGUCCUCACUGCACAAUAUAUGUCCUAGUCAUCACCAUCCAAUGAUCUAGUCAACUUUUACCUUGUAACGAAGCUGACCAAGUCAUCUUUGUACAAUAUAUAUCCUAGUUGUCCCUAUAAGAUGAGUCUAAUAUGUUGUCACUGUAUAAUAGAGCUCGUAUUUUCAUCACUUAGCACUAUGUCAUAGUUACCACCAUAUAAUGAACCUCUCCUAGUCAUCACUCUACAAUAAAUCUCUCCCAGUCAUCACAGUAGAAUUAAUCAACCUCACAGUACAAUGAAUCUCAUUGAACUAUUAAUGUGUAAUGAACCUAUCCAUGCUGUUACUGUACAAUGAAGUUUACCUAGUCACAACCAAGUAUUGAACCUCUCCAACUCAUCCCUGUAUUAUAGCAAUUAUCCAGGUCAUUCCUGAAUAAUAAAUUUCUCCUAGCCAUUCAUGUAUGGUAAACCUACCCAAUUCAUAAUUGUAUUAUUAAUAUACCACCCUGUUAAUGUGUAAUAUUUGUCAGAAUUUUUGAUGUUAUUUGAAAUUGUAUUCUAUUUAAAAUUAACACUUUGAUUGCUGUUACAACAUUUUAUAUAUAAUUUUCUGUAGACUUAUAUUUACUUCUUUUUUCAAACAGAUAUCAGUUUAAAAUGAAAUUCAAAACAACUGAGCUCCCCUACUCUCUUUCUCCCUCUUUAUAUUUUAUCAUCAAUACUAAAUUAAAAGCAUUAUUAUAUUAACUAGAAUCCACAGAAUAAAUAUUUACAACCAACUAAAAUCACUGUAUAAUGAAUGUCUUCUUGUCAUCACUGUAUAAAAAGAAUAUCAACUUCAAGUCCAUUGAAGACAAUGUUUUAGCAUCGUCACAGUUCAAUGGCUGAAAUAAGUGAAAAAAAUAACUUCAUGUUUGGCAUUUUAUGGGAAAUGAUGUCAAGGAAAAUAAAUCAAUAAAUAAAAACUCAAAGACUUUCUUGCUACUGUUUCAAGGACCAAUUUAAGCUUGAACUGAAAUAAGCUAACUUCUAUAUCAGCAACUGGUAAUUUGUUUCUGGUGGAAAAACUUAGUGAGCAACUGCCAGAAGAUACAUAGAUUCAUGUGAAGAUCUUGCAUAUCAAGGAAACAAACUCAAGGAAGGAAAAUCUGUCACAUUCAAUACUUCACAUUGUUUUAAAUUAAUCAUGCAGUGUCUUGUAACUUAGAGAUUUCGAUGACAUGAUUGUAUUUUUUUAGAAUUACAUUGUAGGGUAGAUGUAAAAGGCCAGAAUUCGAGAAUUUGAACAUAAAACAGGUAGAAUAUUUUGGUUAGAUGUGACCGGUUUAAAUGCUAAUGAGUUAAGCAAGGUGAGCGGAGGUGACGACAAGUGAUCGAAACCUCUGGCGAUUUGCUAUGCUUGAGAAGACACAUCAAGCCAAGGGAAAUCGUAGUCAUGGCUAGUGAUGGUGACAUGUAAAAGACACCAAUGCGAGUGGCACAUAAAAGGCACCUACUACACUCUUGGAGUGGUUGGCGUUACAUCCUCAGUGAUGGGAACAUGACUGUUGUCAUGAAUCACGGGAGAUAACUCUAAAUUUUACUUACUCAAACAUAGUGUAAUAUUUUUAUAAGCAUUCUUAUAUUGAUAAAUCACAUAGGUGUUAGCCAUUCAGUGAUGUAUUCCCAAUAAAUAAAAAUUUCCUUCUUAGAGAAAGAAAAAAAAGCUGAAAAGCAAAAAAAAGCAAGCUGAAAAGCAAAAAAAAA
Long non-coding RNA from Octopus sinensis (East Asian common octopus), 3176 nucleotides. RefSeq lists it as uncharacterized. NCBI's taxonomy places the organism in Eukaryota, Metazoa, Mollusca, Cephalopoda, Octopoda, Octopodidae. The record is from RefSeq and is a predicted model, not a curated record. The transcript has 2 exons.